RNAcentral lists this ribosomal RNA (201 nucleotides) under uncultured bacterium. RNAcentral's name for it is "partial 16S ribosomal RNA". It matches the Rfam family "Bacterial small subunit ribosomal RNA", at positions 309 to 526 of the family's 1533-position model. The record is from RNAcentral.
CACACUGGGACUGAGACACGGCCCAGACUCCUACGGGAGGCAGCAGUGGGGAAUCUUGCACAAUGGGCGAAAGCCUGAUGCAGCAACGCCGCGUGAGGGACGAAGGCUUUCUGAGUUGUAAACCUCUUUCAGCAGGGACGAUAAUGACGGUACCUGCAGAAGAAGCCCCGGCCAACUACGUGCCAGCCGCCGCAGUAACAC